GCGGAUCAACCAAUGAGAAGACGAUCGACGUCAAAUAGAUGUUUGCAGCUUGCAGAAUGGAAAGAAAUUUGCAGCUAAAAUUAUUUUCACUUCUAUGCGAAAAUCUAACCGAAAAACUUACCUAUUGAUUUCAAGAUACAGUAUGCCAUUCCAGGUUUGAUGAAAUAUAGAGUGAUGCUUUGAACAUGCAUGAACAUGUUGAAAUUGGAGUUUUAUUUUUAUAGACAGCAAUGAUGAUCACCUGCACCGAGACAGCAGAAGAAAGUUACUUAUUUAUAACUCAUCAUGACCAUGAUGACCAUUUAAUACUGAAAAUCUGAUGAAAAUUUGUUUGGAAAGCCACCAAAUAUUUCAAUGAGAAGUAGAAAAAAGACAGCAAUUCUAUAUCAUGUAUAUCAUGUACUAAGCAGAAGCAUUUGCUGUUUCAAGACCCAAUUGAAUUGGAGUUUAGUGUUUUGAUGCAGUGAAACAGAGGAAUAUUUAAGUGAACAGUUUAGCUUCUUUUUCAUCCUCGUGAAAAAUGUGUUGCAACAGUUUCAUGGAUUUAAUUUGUGGUUUCUUUCGUGAAAUAUUUGAAAAAUCUGCAAUGUCUAACCAAGUAGUUUAUAAGAGAUCUAAAGAUAAAUAUAUGACAUGUAUGAUAUUCAGAUGAAUUUGAAAGAAGGAAAUAUAUUGAUUUAUAAGACUUCAA
Molecule: long non-coding RNA, 691 nt
Organism: Mytilus trossulus (common blue mussel)
Lineage: Eukaryota; Metazoa; Mollusca; Bivalvia; Mytilida; Mytilidae
Exons: 3
Source: RefSeq, a predicted model, not a curated record